This 389-nucleotide ribosomal RNA is filed under the name Powellomyces sp. RNAcentral describes it as "partial small subunit ribosomal RNA". It matches the Rfam family "Eukaryotic small subunit ribosomal RNA", at positions 582 to 975 of the family's 1831-position model. Lineage: Eukaryota; Fungi; Chytridiomycota; Chytridiomycetes; Spizellomycetales; Powellomycetaceae. The record is from RNAcentral.
AUUCCAGCUCCAAUAGCGUAUAUUAAAGUUGUUGCAGUUAAAAAGCUCGUAGUUGAAUUUUGGACCUGGCUGGGUGGUCUUGCCGCAAGGUUAGCACUGCUCUGGUUGGGUCUUUCCUUCUGGGGAACCUGUGUGCGCUUAAUUGAGUGCGCAGGGGAUCCAGGACUUUUACUUUGAAAAAAUUAGAGUGUUUAAAGCAGGCGUACGCUUGAAUACAUUAGCAUGGAAUAAUAAAAUAGGCCUUCGGUUCUAUUUUGUUGGUUUCUAGGACCGGAAGAAUGAUUAAUAGGGAUAGUUGGGGGCAUUAGUAUUUGAUUGUCAGAGGUGAAAUUCUUGGAUUUAUCAAAGACUAACUUCUGCGAAAGCAUUUGCCAAGGAUGUUUUCAUCG